UACGGAAGGCAGCAGUGGGGAAUAUUGCACAAUGGGCGCAAGCCUGAUGCAGCCAUGCCGCGUGUAUGAAGAAGGCCUUCGGGUUGUAAAGUACUUUCAGUCGUGAGGAAGGUGUUAAGGUUAAUAACCUUAGCAAUUGACGUUAGCGACAGAAGAAGCACCGGCUAACUCCGUGCCAGCAGCCGCGGUAAUACGGAGGGUGCGAGCGUUAAUCGGAAUUACUGGGCGUAAAGGGCACGCAGGCGGUUAAUUAAGUUGGAUGUGAAAUCCCCGGGCUUAACCUGGGAAUGGCAUUCAAGACUGGUUAGCUAGAGUCUUGUAGAGGGGGUGAAUUCCAUGUGUAGCGGUGAAAUGCGUAGAGAUGUGGAGGAAUACCGGUGGCGAAGGCGGCCCCUGGGACAAAGACUGACGCUCAUGUGCGAAAGCGUGGGGAGCGAAACAGGAUUAGAUACC
This 453-nucleotide ribosomal RNA is filed under the name uncultured bacterium. Its description in RNAcentral is "bacterial SSU rRNA". It matches the Rfam family "Bacterial small subunit ribosomal RNA", at positions 340 to 786 of the family's 1533-position model. The record is from RNAcentral.